AUCCAGAUGACGAGUCCCAAAUAGGACAAAAUGCACAUUAAGCUGGAU
RNAcentral lists this non-coding RNA (48 nucleotides) under Trichobilharzia regenti. Lineage: Eukaryota; Metazoa; Platyhelminthes; Trematoda; Strigeidida; Schistosomatidae. The record is from RNAcentral.